RNAcentral lists this non-coding RNA (27 nucleotides) under Mus musculus (house mouse). The record is from RNAcentral. Lineage: Eukaryota; Metazoa; Chordata; Mammalia; Rodentia; Muridae.
GCAUACCACGUGUGACUGUGUUGAGGU